GCCCCUUUAGCUCAACGGUAGAGCAGCGUCCUUUUAAGUCGUGGGUUGUCGGUUCGAAUCCGACAGGGGGCA
Molecule: transfer RNA, 72 nt
Filed under: Scardovia inopinata F0304
Lineage: Bacteria; Bacillati; Actinomycetota; Actinomycetes; Bifidobacteriales; Bifidobacteriaceae
Rfam family: tRNA
About the family: Transfer RNA (tRNA) molecules are approximately 80 nucleotides in length. Their secondary structure includes four short double-helical elements and three loops (D, anti-codon, and T loops).
Source: Rfam by way of RNAcentral